UNGGCUGGGAGCCUCCUUUUGCAUUUU
This 27-nucleotide non-coding RNA is filed under the name Mus musculus (house mouse). Lineage: Eukaryota; Metazoa; Chordata; Mammalia; Rodentia; Muridae. The record is from RNAcentral.